GGAAUCAAAUCGAAGCAGCCAUGGCUCUCGUGGAGGGAAACAACGGCGUGUCGGGGGGAGCGGUCAGCUUCAGCGAGGAGCAGGAGGCGCUUGUGCUCAAGUCGUGGGCCAUCAUGAAGAAGGAUUCCGCCAACAUUGGACUCCGCUUCUUCUUGAAGAUCUUCGAGGUCGCGCCGUCGGCGAGCCAGAUGUUCUCGUUCCUGCGCAACUCCGACGUGCCGCUCGAGAAGAACCCCAAGCUCAAGACCCACGCCAUGUCCGUCUUCGUCAUGACAUGUGAGGCCGCCGCGCAGCUGCGGAAAGCCGGGAAGGUCACCGUGAGAGACACCACCCUGAAGAGGCUCGGCGCCACGCACUUCAAGUACGGCGUCGGAGACGCCCACUUUGAGGUGACGAGGUUCGCGCUGCUUGAGACGAUCAAGGAGGCGGUUCCGGUGGACAUGUGGAGCCCCGCGAUGAAGAGCGCGUGGAGCGAAGCCUACAACCAACUGGUCGCGGCCAUCAAGCAGGAGAUGAAGCCUGCUGAGUGAUAUAUAUACUGCUCCACCUCCAUGAUCCUCGCUGAUCAACUUUGUUGCAUUGUGCUCGUUCAAUAUUCCUCGCCCCACAAAAGGGACUUUUGUC
This 624-nucleotide unclassified non-coding RNA is filed under the name Hevea brasiliensis (rubber tree). Lineage: Eukaryota; Viridiplantae; Streptophyta; Magnoliopsida; Malpighiales; Euphorbiaceae. The record is from RNAcentral.